AGACACAGACAGAGACAGAGAGAGAGACACAGACAGAGACAGAGAGAGAGACACAGACAGAGACAGAGAGAGAGACACAGACAGAGACAGAGAGAGAGACACAGACAGAGACAGAGAGACACAGACAGACAGCGAUAGACAGAGACAUACACAGAGACAUACACAGACAGAUACACAAAGACAGACACAGAGAGACACACACAGAGACAGACAGAGACACAGAGAGACAGAUACACAGACAGAGAGACAGCAACAAAGACAGAGAGACAGACACAGAGAGACACAGAGACAGAGAGACUCAGAGACACGCAGAGACAGAUACACAGCGACAAAGACAGAGAGACACAAGAGACAGCUACACAGCGACAGAGAGACAGCGACAAAAACAGAGAGACAGGGAGACAGUGAGAAACAGCCACAGAGACACGCAUAGACACAGACAGACACAGAGACGCGGAAAGAGACAGAGACACAGAGACAAACUCACAGAUAAGCAUAGAUAGAGACACAGAUACACAUUUAUAUACACAGGCAAACACACAUACAGAGACACAAACAUUGAGUCGCAAAGGUAGAGAGACAUAUAGUAAAUACAGAGACGCAGACACGGAGAUAAAUUCAGAGACACGGGCAAAGACACACACCGUAGGUGAAGACAAAGACACGCAUAGACCAAGUCGUUUACCCAACAUAAGAUAGACAUAGACAAAUACGCACAGACGCACAUAGACAAAUGCACACAGAGUCACAAGAACAAACAUCCUCACAGGUAGACGCACAGGUAAGGUUAAGGUCGGCAGAGCCCGAUACCGAACGUGACCCGAACGUGACCUCGAGGCGCUGAAAGUGAAGAAGACUGGGCAGGCCCCUGGCGACUUCGUUGACCAAGGGCCAAGUUCACACACGAGGAUGACUUCUGUACUGGAGGACCCAAGCCUGGAGAGGCACUUCAAGGGCCACCGUGACACGAUUACCAGCGUGGACUUCAACCCCAACAUGAAGCAACUGGGCAAGUGUUGUGCCCAGUGUCCAAUCCUAAUCGAUAAUCUUUCGAACAGGAUCUAUCCACUGCUGGAUACAGGCCUUCCCAAACUGUUACCGUCGCUCACAGUCUUGCGAUGCGACAAUUCAUCUUUCCACAACAGAGAUUUUUGGGUUAGAUUGCGGGAAUAUAAAUGUGUCAUUAAACCCGCCACCACCAGAAAACUUCUGUUAUGGAUAAUUUUGGUCGCAAAAGCCUACAUAUUAAACCGACUAAUCCAUCUUUAGCGUGAACACGAAUAGAUUUCACCACUCCGUGUCCCUGGUAGACCUCCUCUCGGACAUGUCCAUUCUCUGUCUGUCAUUUUGUUGUUAGCCGCGACCAUCGGGCGUUAACCCUUCUGGCGGUGUGUCCUGAUCUGCCGGUAAAUUUUUUUUAAGAAUGCAUUAUGAAUGCUGUUCAAGCAGUGCACCGCAAUUGUCUGAGAAAUGGCUAUGGUGGAGAUUUUUCACAGGAUAAAAAAAUCCUUCAAGUAGUCUUUCUAUCCUUUAGACAGUAGGGGUUGAUGAGAUUGUUAAAUGUCAGUUACACUAAUUAUCGAAGCUGCCAAUUUAAACACGAAACUAAUUUUACUUAAUGAAUCGUGUGCAAUAAAAGGUGACCAGCCUGAGACCAUUGACCCAAUACUUGAAAACCCGGUUUAAUAAUGGGUGGCUACCCCCCGGAUUAAACACAGCCGCUUGCGGCGCUGACUUCAGAGACAUUUGGCCACCUUCCUCUCUGUUUUGUUAAGCGUGCCUGUGUGCAUGCGUGCGUGCGUUGCAGCGAGCGGUUCCAUGGACGCCUGUCUCAUGGUGUGGAACUUCAAGCCGCAGACGCGCGCAUACCGCUUUGUGGGCCACAAGGACGCUGUGAUGAGCGUGCAGUUCUCCCCGUCCGGCCACCUUGUCGUGUCGGCCUCACGCGACAAGACGGUCCGACUGUGGGUGCCCAGCGUGAAAGGAGAGUCGACGGUGUUCAAGGCGCACACGGCCACCGUGCGCAGCGUGAGCUUCUCGGCUGACGGGCAGUCUCUGGUCACCGCCUCGGACGACAAGUCCAUCAAAGUGUGGACAGUCCACCGCCAGAAAUUCCUCUACUCCCUCAACCAGCACUCCAACUGGGUCCGAAGUGCUAAAUUCUCACCCGACGGGCGGCUCAUCGUGUCGGGAAGCGACGACCGCACGGUGCGCGUGUGGGACUCGAAUAGCCGGGAGUGCGUGCACACCUUCUACGAGCACGGAGGCUUCGUGAACCAGGUGGACUUUCACCCGAGCGGGACGUGCAUCGCUGCUGCGGGCACGGACAACACGGUGAAGGUGUGGGACAUCCGCAUGAACAAGCUGCUGCAGCACUACCAGGUCCAUGGUGCGGCGGUGAAUUCCCUCUCCUUCCACCCGACCGGCAACUACCUCAUCACCGCCUCCAAUGACUCAACCCUCAAGGUGCUGGACCUGGUGGAGGGGCGCCUCUUCUACACCCUGCACGGCCACCAGGGCCCAGCCACAGCAGUGGCUUUCUCCCGUGCUGGGGAUUUCUUUGCAUCGGGAGGCUCCGACGAGCAGGUGAUGGUGUGGAAGACAAACUUUGACUCCGUGGAUUACUCGGAGGUUCUGAGGAGCCACAAGCAGAGGGCAAACCCUGACCCACCACCCUACGUCCACGACAUCCCACCUCGCUCCCCACGUCCCCACAGCCAAAGCGCCAACAGCAUUCAGAUCCAUUCCAGCUUAGAGCCAGUGGACACUGUGUCUGGGAAUCCAGAAGUAGUUGAACUGGGCCCCUCCGUGUUUUCUCUUUGUAAGGGCAACAAGUCCGGGUACGCUGGCGCGGCAGCCGAGGUCUCGGAGCCGUCGGGCCGACCCCGCGGGCAGCAGCCUCGCCGGCCCGUGACGGCGGGCGGCGCACGCCAGCAGCCGGGCUUGGGCACGGGCGCUAGCAGCCAGCACCAGGAUGUACGCAGCACGAGCGGUGGUGGACAGAGGCUGUCGCAACACAGACUAUCCACGGUCGGGAGGAGCACGGUGCUGGUGCCGCCGGGACCAACGGCUUCCACGCGGAGGGGAGCGGCAGCGGCCCCGUGAGUCGGCCGCUCGAGGACAGAGCGGGGAUCCCCGCGGCGCUCGUCAACACGUUCGAGCACAUCGUCACGCAGCUCGACAUCCUCACGCAGACGGUGUCCAUCCUGGAGCAAAGGCUGACGAUGACGGAAGACAAGCUCAGGGAGUGUCUGGAGGCCCAGCAGCACAGCCACGCUCGCGAGUGAAGCUCCCUGCCUCCCCACGCUCGCCCCCUCCCCCCCGUCUCUCUCGCGGCGUGCGUCGCGUUGUCCGCCUUCAGGUUGUGAAAACGUCAGGAAGUUUUCGUUUUGUUUUAUUCGUCAAAUUGUCAACUUUUAAAAGUUAGGUAGCAACAAAGGAGGGGUAAGCGUCGUGUUCCAUUUUAUUGUUUUCUUUUUUUUUUAUCAAAAAGGACACCACUGGAAAUUCACCUAAGCAGUGGUAACGUUUCCUUGCGAUGGUUUUAAAGUUUUGUGGUUUGCAGUAUGCGUACGCACUUUUAAUGGCCUUUAAUACGACCACUCAGAAUGAAGAGCAACCAUAUGGUGCCAUGUGUCCUGCACAUGGAGAGAGUGAGGUUGCUGGGCUAGUGCAGCCCCAAGUUUGCUGGUGCACGUCAUGCCAGUGGUGUGAAAUUGUUCCCGACAAUCAUUUGUGGCGGUAACAUCUUCUUUAAAACGCCAGCUCCAUACAGAUAUGACUUCGAGCAGUGAGGCUUACGCAUAAAAGGUGGGGGGGGGGUAAUUUUUUAGUAAAUGUUUCCAGUAAGCAUUCUUUUAGGUUAUUAGUUUAAAUUGGCACUGGAUACAGUGAUGAGGCACUCGUGCACAAUUUCCUGGCCUACGUCACAUUGUGGACUCUUAUUUGGAAAUUGAAGUGGAUGCUUCUGGGUUUGACUGUCCACUUGUACUGAGCAAGGAACACAAAUUGUUUGAAAUGGCUUUGUGCUCUUCAUUGCACCCGGGCAAGAAAUCAACAUAGCCAAGGUCCGCUGUGCGGCAAGGAGGUCGGUGACAAGGCUGGAGUUAUGUUUUAGAUUACAUUGUUGUCCACGUUGUGUUUCGUGCAUUCACCAACCACCUAUGCCAUACUAGGCCUUUCAAGAAUAAGGGCUUUAUAUUCGUCUUGAAGCUCCUGGUUAAACAUGUCAGGGUACCUGUGCUCAUAUGAGCGAUCGGUGGUUUUCAUCUCCAUCGCUUCCCACCAAGUGAUGCAUAGCUAGUUCUGGUGACCAUUUCAGAGACUUGAUGGGUUGAUCCCAGCUGGGAUUCAAACUCAUGAUUUCACAAGUUAGGGCCCGGUCCACUCCUAUAAGCUGAACUGUGCUUCGACUGUUUGCAUAGAUUAGUGGCCAAUAAAUCUUUGAGCACACAGAACUGUUUCCCAAAGGACAACUCUAAGCUCACCAAUGAUCAGUUGUAUAUAUUUGUCAAAAUAUUUGCAACGUAAUGGUUUGUGUGCACAGAUGAUAUUUGUGCUGUGUACAUUUUACAAUAAUCUUUUGGGAGUUAUUUCUUUUAAAAAAACGUGUUUUACCCUUGUCUUUUGUAAAGAUUUUCUUAUUUUGCUGUGCUAAUGCGUUUCACCUCGUGGCAUUUAGAAGAUUUGUCUAAAGUAUCUUUGAUAAAUAAAAUAUUUGUCGUAACUUUAA
Molecule: RNA transcript, 4732 nt
Organism: Lethenteron reissneri (Far Eastern brook lamprey)
Lineage: Eukaryota; Metazoa; Chordata; Hyperoartia; Petromyzontiformes; Petromyzontidae
Gene name: POC1 centriolar protein homolog A-like
Source: RefSeq, a predicted model, not a curated record